CCCCAAUAUCAGCGCAUCCCGUUUCGCGGGGCGGGUGUUGGGGUUAGAGCCACCGAGUAGUGGCCGCAGGCUGGAGGAGAGCCGCCGAGUGGUGGUUCAGGAGGGAAAAUCUGCCAAGCUCAAAGGUCAGGCAAGCGAGAGGUUUACCGAGUCGGAAAGUCGGGCGAGUAAAAAGAUAUACCAAGUCCAAAAUACUGCCGGCAACAUACCCGGGACCCCGAGUAAGUCGGGGAAGAAGUUGGCGGAUGUUUUUCCAGCCAACUCAACUUUGACCAAUUUACCUGCCCGAGCUCACGGGUAGGCUGCGGUUAAUUUUUGGACUUUUGCGGAUUUACUUGAAUCAAUUCACAGGAAGUUACCUGCCAAAUUGCCUGGGCUCCCGGGUAGGCUAUAGUUGACUUUUGGACUUGGCGGAUUUUUUUAAACUUACUUCCCCGACUAUAACCUGGGAUUUUCCCGACCAUAGCUCACGGGUAGGUAAGUUGUGAUUUUUGGACUUGGUGAAAUUUCUACUUUCCUGCCAAGUCUAGCCUACCUGGGAGCCCAGGCAAGUCGGGCAGGUAAAUUCCGCCAACUCGGCAGGGAACUGAUUGCAAAUUAAUUUAACCAAAUCUGCCAAGUCCACAAGUUAACUAUAGCCUACCCGGGAGGCCUGGGUGUUUCCCGCGUGAUUUCCUGUAAAAACAAAAAAGUUAGGUGUUUUAGUACUUAAUUUAUAUAGGUAUAAGUUAAUUUUUUUGUUUUCUUAUAUAAAUAAAAUUUGCGGAAAAUAAAAAAUAAACCACGAGAGCCCGGUAGCGGAGGCAAGCCCUUAAGGUAGUCGGUAAGUAUAUAAGAGAGAGGGCUGGACACGCGUCGCGUCGCGUAUUUCCACCGCACCUAAUACUUUUGGCUUUAGGGUAGGCUGCUUGUUUAGAGGCGCGCUGAAUUAGAUGGUCUCUUAAGUGAGGGGAUUUCUCUGCUGGCAGUUGCCUGUAAUCCGGGAGUCCGUGGUGGUAAAGUCAGCUAUAAGGCUUGUGUGUGUGUGGGUGCGCGGGUGUGUGUGCCGGGGCCCUGUAAGUCCCGACCAGGAACCCUACAGGUCACGUGCCGACACAGUAAGACAGAUAAGAUAUACGGCACGUGUUAGUACACGUGCCAAUACAAGUGACGAUAAGAUCGAUAAGAUACCUGCACGUGCCCAGUCACGGAGACUUACACGUGUCCCGCUGCCAAGGUCCCCGAGGUCCCCGAGGUUGCCGACCUCGCCGACUACUCCUGGUGUAAUGUGCCGGUGCAGUUGCAUAUAAUUCCUUACUAGUCUCAAUAAUAGUACACUCGUUUAUCGCGAUGCACUCACUUGUGGUACGGCUGUGCGGCUGUGCUGACGUACUUGUGGUGGAGGGUUACCCGGGACCACGGUGCAUUUUUCCGUUUUUUCCAUUUUUUCAAAAUCGACGACCAAAAGGUUGGCAGGUCUGGGUUGCCUUGCUGGCCAAUAGAGAUUUGUACGGCGCUACUAUAGGGUAGGUACAGGGUAGGCUGUGCCGGUACUUGCGGUCGCACACAAAUCCCUAGCAGCCUGAAGUACCCCCGCGCGCGGGCAACUUCAAACCGCUAUAGCUGCUCCCAGCGGCAUCGCAGACAACUAUGAGGGCCACCAUUCGAUUCGUCUCGCCGAGCUGCAUCGAUUGAGCCCGGGCUGCCAAAAAGUCGGGUGUUUUGGUAUUUGAUUUGUAUGGGCGUGAGUCGAUUUUUUUGUUUUCCUAUACAAAUGAAUUUUGCGGAAAAUAAAAAAUGGACCACGAGCGCCCGGUGGCGGAGGUGGACCCUCGAGGUGGUCGGUGGGUAUGUGAGAAGGGGGCGUCGAAAGAUGCCGGGACAGCUGGGUCUUCGCUGAAAGGCAGGAUUUCCGGUGAGUCACCGCCCUCUCUGUACCAUAUCUUGCCGAGCCCCAGUGCUUGAGUGGCCUCCUGAACACGCCUGUAGAAGGUUUCUUUUACAGGCUGGGAGGUCACACUGGGGAUUCAAACUCCACGAAGUCGGCGGCUACGGCCGUGCGGCGUACUGGUUAUACCUCGUGGCAGUGGGAGGCACCCGCCUCUUACCGCUCAGGAGAUGGGUUCUGUGGGCUGCUGGCCGCUGGCCAACAUGCCGUAAAUCAGAAUAACGGGAGGCAACCACGGGUAGCUGACGCCGAAAUGGCAGAGGCUGCACGGAGCGUCCUCCUCUUAGGGCACCUAUACCGCACUCUACGGUGCGUGUGGACGGCUGCGCCUAGGGAAUUGAGAGGGGGAAAGCGGAUUUGCCGCUGGGCGGUCUCUCCCGGUCAAACGGGCAGGGCACCUCCCGGCGCGCAGCACCCUUUCGAGUGGGGGAAAGGUGUGCCGACCAGUAACUUGGACUAUUCUCUCCGGCGCCCUUAACAGGGCGUCGGUAGGCCAACCCCGGCGAACGAUAGU
This 2441-nucleotide unclassified non-coding RNA is filed under the name Metarhizium brunneum. Lineage: Eukaryota; Fungi; Ascomycota; Sordariomycetes; Hypocreales; Clavicipitaceae. The record is from RNAcentral.